UUUGAUGGCGACCGGCGCACGGGUGAGUAACACGUAUCCAACCUGCCGAUGACUCGGGGAUAGCCUUUCGAAAGAAAGAUUAAUACCCGAUGGCAUAGUUCUUCCGCAUGGUGGAACUAUUAAAGAAUUUCGGUCAUCGAUGGGGAUGCGUUCCAUUAGGUUGUUGGCGGGGUAACGGCCCACCAAGCCCUUGAUGGAUAGGGGUUCUGAGAGGAAGGUCCCCCACAUUGGAACUGAGACACGGUCCAAACUCCUACGGGAGGCAGCAUG
Molecule: ribosomal RNA, 270 nt
Filed under: uncultured bacterium
Lineage: Bacteria
Description: partial 16S ribosomal RNA
Rfam family: Bacterial small subunit ribosomal RNA
Source: RNAcentral